GAUGAACGCUGGCGGCGUGCCUAAUACAUGCAAGUCGAGCGAACAGACGAGGAGCUUGCUCCUCUGACGUUAGCGGCGGACGGGUGAGUAACACGUGGAUAACCUACCUAUAAGACUGGGAUAACUUCGGGAAACCGGAGCUAAUACCGGAUAAUAUAUUGAACCGCAUGGUUCAAUAGUGAAAGACGGUUUUGCUGUCACUUAUAGAUGGAUCAGCGCCGCAUUAGCUAGUUGGUAAGGUAACGGCUUACCAAGGCAACGAUGCGUAGCCGACCUGAGAGGGGGAUCGGCCACACUGGAACGGGGACACGGUCCAGACUCCUACGGGAGGCAGCAUUAGGGAAUCUUCCGCAAUGGGCGAAAGCCUGACGGAGCAACGCCGCGUGAGUAAUGAAGGUCUUCGGAUCGUAAAACUCUUUUAUUAGGGAAGAACAAAUGUGUAAGUAACUAUGCACGUCUUGACGGUACCUAAUCAGAAAGCCACGGCUAACUACGUG
Molecule: ribosomal RNA, 497 nt
Filed under: uncultured bacterium
Lineage: Bacteria
Description: partial 16S ribosomal RNA
Rfam family: Bacterial small subunit ribosomal RNA
Source: RNAcentral